UAAGGAAUAUUGCACAAUGGGCGCAAGCCUGAUGCAGCAACGCCGCGUGCCCGAGGAAGGCCUUCGGGUUGUAAAGGGCUUUUCUGGCUGAAGAGGCAGGACGGUAGGCCAGGAAUAAGCGUCGGCUAACUACGUGCCAGCAGCCGCGGUAAAACGUAGGACGCGAGCGUUAUCCGGAUUUACUGGGCGUAAAGCGCCGGCAGGCGGCUGUUCAAGUCGGACGUGAAAGCUCCCGGCUCAACCGGGAGAGGCCGUUCGAAACUGGGCAGCUAGAGGGCAGCAGAGGGGCGUGGAAUUCCGGGUGGAGUGGUGAAAUGCGUAGAGAUCCGGAGGAACACCAGAGGCGAAGGCGGCGCCCUGGGCUGCACCUGACGCUGAGCCGCGAAAGCCAGGGUAGCGAACGG
This 404-nucleotide ribosomal RNA is filed under the name uncultured bacterium. RNAcentral describes it as "bacterial SSU rRNA". It matches the Rfam family "Bacterial small subunit ribosomal RNA", at positions 355 to 775 of the family's 1533-position model. The record is from RNAcentral.